UCACCUCUAACCGUAAUCCACCCAAUUUUCGUAUUUUCUGCUCCGGCUGCCCUAUUGGAGAACGUCCCCUCUCACGGCGGCUCCCUUCCGCCGCUCUCAUCGGAGAAUCUCCGAUUUUCUCGGUAGCAAUCCACUCGAUUCCCCUCUGCUUGGCUUCGCCGAGAAAUUGAUAGAAAUUUUAUGGAAUUUCGUUUUGUGGAAUGAUUCGCCGAUUGUAGAAUUUACUAUCACGAAAAUGGGGAAAAAUCAAGCUUACAAAGCGAUGCAAUGAUCUCGGUUUGGCUCGAGCUCCGCCGCGCCGGAUGAGGUCGAAGAUAGCAUGAUGGUCUCUGAAGAUUUUAUUGUGGUGUGUAGGCGUUUCUUGGUAAACUAUUGCAUCCAGGUUUCUCUGCCGGGACUUACUAAUACAGACAUCUUGUUCCAGAACUUUGGAGUUAUGGGAUCAGAUGCAGAAGGGUUACAAAAGAACAUGUUCAGUGUGGGAUUAUGCUAGGAUGCAAGAGCUCUGCUGAUCCACAAGGAUUUUGCUAUGUGAAGGUAAAUCCCCCUUCUGUAUAUCCAGAUUCAUUUGUUUAUUAUGAAGUAUUUGGCUUUACUGUCUUAAGCUAUAAUAAAUGCUGAUGUUCAUUAUUCUAAUGUCCGAUGAGCAAGAAGGCACACAGAGAAGAUGCACUUCUUGGUGAGAACUCCUUACAUUUUCUCAAACUGGCCAAAAUGCUUUCUCAUCAUCUUAUUACCACAAAAUGCUUUCUUAUCUUCUUACUUGUUUUGCAUAUGUAUGAUGUAUCUAUACAUUUAUAUAAUAGAUUGGAUCUGUGCUACCUUUUUGUAGUACAGAUAUUAGAAGAAAAUAUAGGAUUCUCACUUAAUUAUCUAAAUGGUAUUAGAACUAGGUCUACAUACAGGAGAUAUCUAUAGUCAGUGACUCGGAGAAUAAGAAGUAAAGAAAAGAAGGAUGAUUUCAGUAAGAUCUUCAUGUACUAAUUCGUUCACUUGGGAGGAGAUGAAGUGAACAUGAGUUGCUGGGAGACAAAGCCUCAUGUUAAAAAAUGGUAAAAUCUUCUGCUUCAAUCUUUAAUAAAAAUGCUGCGAGAGAAGUCACUAUUGAGGUGCGCGAGCAGUUGGAGAAGCAAACUGAGGUGUCGCGUGCGGAGUUGGAGAGGCAAAAUGCAGCAGCAUGUGCUGAAAUAGAGAGCAAAAUGCGAGUUGCGCCCAGAUUUAGAGAAAAAAAACAUAGGAGGUUGGAACGGUUGAUGAACCUAUUCAGUGAAUAGGUUGACGAAAUGAUAAGUCAAAAAUAGCUCAAGUCUUUAUAAACUAAAAGUGUAAAACAAUAUUAUUAAUUUUAUAUAAUUUUUUAGUUUGUUACUUUUUA
Molecule: long non-coding RNA, 1375 nt
Organism: Salvia splendens (bonfire salvia)
Lineage: Eukaryota; Viridiplantae; Streptophyta; Magnoliopsida; Lamiales; Lamiaceae
Exons: 7
Source: RefSeq, a predicted model, not a curated record